RNAcentral lists this microRNA (20 nucleotides) under Tribolium castaneum (red flour beetle). Its description in RNAcentral is "tca-miR-3873-3p". The record is from miRBase by way of RNAcentral. Lineage: Eukaryota; Metazoa; Arthropoda; Insecta; Coleoptera; Tenebrionidae.
AUGUAAUUUUAGCUCAUAAU